Molecule: ribosomal RNA, 478 nt
Filed under: uncultured bacterium
Lineage: Bacteria
Description: partial 16S ribosomal RNA
Rfam family: Bacterial small subunit ribosomal RNA
Source: RNAcentral
GACGAACGCUGGCGGCGUGCUUAACACAUGCAAGUCGAACGGUAAGGCCCUUCGGGGUACACGAGUGGCGAACGGGUGAGUAACACGUGGGUGAUCUGCCCUGCACUUCGGGAUAAGCCUGGGAAACUGGGUCUAAUACCGGAUAGGACCACUGCCUGCAUGGGUGGUGGUGGAAAGCUUUUGCGGUGUGGGAUGGGCCCGCGGCCUAUCAGCUUGUUGGUGGGGUGAUGGCCUACCAAGGCGACGACGGGUAGCCGGCCUGAGAGGGUGACCGGCCACACUGGGACUGAGAUACGGCCCAGACUCCUACGGGAGGCAGCAGUGGGGAAUAUUGCACAAUGGGCGCAAGCCUGAGGCAGCAACGCCGCGUGAGGGAUGACGGCCUUCGGGUUGUAAACCUCUUUUAGUAGGGAAGAAGCGAAAGUGACGGUAGGUGCAGAAGAAGGACCGGCCAACUACGUGCCAGCCGCCGCCGUAA